ACCCUCCGGUUUGUCUUCAGAUCGUAUAAAUCUUUCGGCUUUUACUAAAGAUUUCCGUGGGGAGGAACGGGAGGAACGCGUACGAGUCUUACGAAAAUUUUUGUGGCACCAUGACGGUGGAGCC
This is a small nuclear RNA of Passer domesticus (house sparrow), 124 nucleotides long. RefSeq annotates it as U5 spliceosomal RNA. NCBI's taxonomy places the organism in Eukaryota, Metazoa, Chordata, Aves, Passeriformes, Passeridae. The transcript has a single exon. The record is from RefSeq and is a predicted model, not a curated record.